CCACUCUGAUAAACUCAGAAGAAGCAGGCCAUGAUGAAAGAAGUCUUGUUUAGAGAGGAGAGUUUCCAUGAGCCAGCUAGACGGCAGUAUUUAUUUGAGGUUAUGGAGCUGAGCACACAUGCACACGCAUAAUCAGUCACAGCUCAUUUCAGCUCCCUUUAUCAGUCUGCACACAUUUUAUAACUGAUGUUGAAGCGCAGACAGAUUUGUUCCAGCUUUCCACACAGAGAAAAAGCUCUCUUGACACAACAGAAUUUGUGAGACUUUUUAAUACUGUACCCCUACAGAAGUUUCCAAAACACUCUGAGGCAGAGAAAAGAGACGCACAGUGAUCAGAGAGUUUGUGUUAAGUCAGCUUUCAUUUAUUGGCUCUCAUAAAACUUUGUUUUCAUCUUUUCUGAGUCUAGGGUUGAUCUGAGAUAUCCCACAAUGCAUUCACAGAGAGACAGGAAGAUCAAAGAGAAGAAUGAAAGUUUGGCUUAUUCACUGACUCUCUCGUGUGCUACAUUGAGACAAACAACCAUCAGAGCAGUUCGGGAUUCUGCUUUGGUGAAAUACAAUCCAUUACAACACUGCAGGGAAUGGAUGGUUUGCUGGAAGAUUUACUUUAAGAUGACAACAGACCUAGAGAGUCUCAAGUGAGAAAUUUUCAGGUGACAAAUUUUCAGUUUAAAGAUCCUCUGCUUUGGUUCUUUGUGUACUGUAUACCCAGGUCACAAAUUAGCUCUGUAUAUUAGGUUUGUGAUCAAAAAUAUAGAGUCCCGAUUUUUGUUUUCAGUGUCUUGGAAGAACAAAUGCAAACACAAAUACGUCAGUGGAAAUAGAAGCGACCUUUCAGUGUGUUUUGUCCUAGUCCCUCCCUUUGUAUCUUUUGGUUCACUUGGGCAGAAUUGUACAACAAACAGUAACCUUUUCAGCCCAUUCAUUCACUGUGUACUUGCCCACGAAGUAGUGUUUUUUUUUUUUUUUUUUUUUUACCACACAUUACCAGCACACAAAGAUCACUGACAGGAAGAACGGAAAGCAUGCAUCUUUGCAGUUUUGUUGAGCUAGUUUUUUAAAAGAUGAACCAUAGCGACAAAACAACAAACUACACUGCAGCCGUGAGGUUGAAGUCAUUUCCCUGUGGGGGUGUUGGGUCCCUGGAGGAGAGCAGCUCUAAUGAGACCCGAUCUGUGGCUUGUUGCUGCUUGGCUCAUCAGACGCAUUCAUCACUCUGACUGAUAUCAGACUCCAUGACAGCUGACAUUUUGUGACUGUUUGAAUCCCCCAUGAAUGGCAGCAUGUGAAAACAUCCGCUCUGCUUUUGCUGCCGCUAAAUGUCUUUGGUCGCCAUGGAGAUGUGGACCACAGUAUACUUUACAAAGCAGCUGCCUGCAGUGUCUCAGCAUUG
Molecule: long non-coding RNA, 1393 nt
Organism: Cyprinus carpio (common carp)
Lineage: Eukaryota; Metazoa; Chordata; Actinopteri; Cypriniformes; Cyprinidae
Exons: 3
Source: RefSeq, a predicted model, not a curated record